CUACGGGACGCACCAGGCGCGAAACCUUUACAAUGCACGAAAGUGUGAUAAGGGGAUCCAAAGUGCCUAUACAUUGUAUAGGCUUUUGCCAAAGUUAAAUCCUUUGGCGAAUAAGUGGUGGGAAAGACUGGUGCCAGCCGCCGCGGUAACACCAGCGCCACAAGUGGCAACCACGUUUAUUGGGCCUAAAGCGUUCGUAGCCGGUUUAAUAAAUCUUUUGUGAAAUUGUCUGGCUUAACUAAACAACGUGCAAAGGACACUGUUAAACUCGAGACCGGGAGGAGCUGAGAGUAUUCUUGGGGGAGCGGUAAAAUGUGAUAAUCCCUAGAAGACUACCUGUGGCGAAGGCGCUCAGCUAGAACGGAUCUGACGGUGAGGGACGAAAGCCAGGGGAGCGAUCCGGAUUAGAUACCCUUGUAGUC
This 422-nucleotide ribosomal RNA is filed under the name uncultured archaeon. RNAcentral's name for it is "partial 16S ribosomal RNA". It matches the Rfam family "Archaeal small subunit ribosomal RNA", at positions 323 to 746 of the family's 1478-position model. The record is from RNAcentral.